ACCUACAGCCAUACCACCUUGAAAGUGCCCGAUCUCAUCUGAUUGUGGAAGAUAAGCAGGGUCAGGUGUGGUUAGCAGAAUGGGAGAACGAGAAUUAUAUUAACAGGUUAUAUAUA
RNAcentral lists this ribosomal RNA (116 nucleotides) under Carlito syrichta (Philippine tarsier). Lineage: Eukaryota; Metazoa; Chordata; Mammalia; Primates; Tarsiidae. The record is from RNAcentral.